This 4702-nucleotide long non-coding RNA is filed under the name Canis lupus familiaris (dog). RNAcentral describes it as "lncRNA (ENSCAFG00000051841.1)". The record is from RNAcentral. Lineage: Eukaryota; Metazoa; Chordata; Mammalia; Carnivora; Canidae.
UUUGUUUUGUUUUGUUUUGUUUUCAGAGAGAGAGAGGAGGGGCGGGUAGGGGUAGAGGGAGAUUCUUAAGCAGGCUCCAAGCCCAGUAUAGAGCCCAAUGUGGUGCUUGAUCUCAUGACCCUGAGGUCAUGACUUGAACCAAAAUCAAGAGCUGGGCACUUAACAACUAAAUCACCCAAGCACCCCCUCUCAUUUUUGUUUUGAUUUGCACUGGAUGCAUUGGUCUUUAAAGAGAUAUCACCCUAGGUGGCUCAGUCUGGUCAAGUGUCUGACUCUUGAUUUUGGGUCAGGUCACGAACUCAGGGUUGUGAGAUUGAGCCCUGUGUUGGGCUCUGUGAUGAAUGUAGAGCCUGCCUACCUCUGCCCCUCCCUGAUCACACACCCCCACCUCUUUUUCUCUAAAGAAGAGAAGAAGAAGAAGAAGAAGAAGAAGAAGAAGAAGAAGGAGGAGGAGGAGGAGGAGGAGGAGGAGGAGGAGGAGGAGGAGGAGGAGGAAGAAGAGCAGGAGUGGGAGGAUUGGGGGGGAGAGACAUCACUCUUUGAAUGGACCUCAAGUCAUGUAAUAGUCACUAUCUGGACCAAAGCAGGCAUAUGGGAUAACAGAAUAGCUUUUAGGUGGAAAACCAAUUUCAAAUCCUGGUAGUUUCUGUCUCUGACCCUGGGAAAGUUAGUUAACCAUUUUUUUAAGUUCAGUUUUCUCAUAUGAAAAAUAAAACCAAAAAAGUAAAAAUGGGAACUACAGUAGCUAACACUCAAGGAUUUAUGGUAACCAUAGUUUGUAAAGUCUGUAAUACUGUGUCAGGCAUACGGUAAGCACUAGAAAGCAGUAGAUGUGAAUUUUUUCAUAUACAUGUUGCAAUAUUCUUACUGAUUUUUUAUAUAUUUUAAUUUAGUAGAAAAAAAUAUGGACUUAGUUGCCUACAAAAAUGCUCAGUGAAACGUCCACUUCAGGUCAUAAAACCAAGCUUUGGCCCGUCUUGUAGGCACUUCAUAUUUUAAUUUUGAAUUUCCUGUGAUUCAGAAAGCCUUUAAGUGUGGUCCUGGGGACUGACAGAGCAAAGAUUGAACAAGACAGGAGAGAAGCCCUUUAUAUGCUACUCUCCCUAUGUAUAUACAUCAGUGAAGCAAGGAUCUCAUGGCUGAGAAGCUUGCAAUGAAACCUCCUCGCCUCAUCAUCAUCCGAAGUCCUUGACACAGAAACCCAGAAGCAUUAAAAAGAAAUGAAAAAGGUUGCCCAUGCCUGUCUGAAGUAACUAAGUUACAAGGACCUUUGAGGAUUUUUGUGAGCCACUGAAAUAGGUUUUAGAGGGCUGAAUUUGUAUUUGUCUUUACAUUUUAUUACAUUUUCAUCUGACCACAGCCCCUACAGAUGCAGCUUCAUGCUCCAAGUAGUUCAGCUAGUGAAUUUGAAGAAGGCUCCUGGGAUAGGCAUCUUUUAACACUCAACCGUCUUUUUUUUUCACACUCUUUUCCUCUGGCCUCUCAAGGAAUCAUUUUCUUGUGCACUUGAAGGGGCUUUUGUUAAGUGGCCUGGAAGUGAGAUUGCUGAGCAUCAUCUUGGCAAAAUUAAUCCAGGAGUGAAAAUGCCAAAAGGGAACCAGUUGUUUCUAUUCCAAACACUUUUUUUCAGUGUCUGAAUGAGAAAGCAAAAUGCUUCCUGCAAACCUCUCUUGUAACUCUGCUGAGGGUUAUCAAUGCCUCUUUCUUCCAAUCAAGCUUUUCAUCACAGCUGAAGGGAGGCAAGUCCUUAGCAAGCAGGAGACUUAAUCUUACAAUGAAAAAACCAGUUGCCGAUCUCAUCAGUCACUAGUGAAACUGCAAUUGAAUUCUUUAGAAAUUAUACAAGGGAAUCGAUGAUGCGGAGAAAAAAUAAUUCACGAAGUGUUCAAAAUGCACACAGUCACUAGCUUGCUGGGAGAUAAAGGCAUUGUCUCUGGGGUCGGAUGAUGGGGCCUCAGAGGCUACUUUCCUACUUUCCAUUCAUGAGGAUUUGGACAACUCCGUCUCUAUGCUUCAGGUUCCUUGUAUCUAAAUGGGAUUACUUGAACUUCCAUUUUCAGAGUACUCCAUGUAAAUCAUUAACUCAAAUCUCACGACUCAGGAUUUGUGAUAAGUAUAACUGAGAAAAGCGAUAUUUACCUUUAAAUUAUCCUAGAAAAAAAGCUGUUAGCAAGUUUCCAUAUGGAUAAGAUUGUCAGUGUUGUGAUUAAAUUCCUUAGGUGAAAGUUUAUUUUGUCCAUUUAGCAAUCAACAUUAUUUUUGAGGGCAGAGCUCCUCAUGUUUGAGUUAAAUUGAGUCUAUUACUUAGUAACUGUAACUUGGGACAACUUAGUGGCUUCACUAACUGUCAACUUACUACUCUGUAAAAUGAGGAUAACGCUGGUGACUUUGCAUGCCUAAUGGGAUGGCUGUGAAAAACAAAUGGGAGAAUGUAUCUGCACUGCAAAUGAAGAGAUGCUCACACUCAACAAAGACUAAGUUAUGAUUAUCAGCAGUAAUAAUACGAUAAUGAUGAUGAAUUAAUCUCUCUCAUCAAGCACAUCUAGCCAUGUCCUAUGUUUUUGCUUGCAUUAUGCUUCUGGAUAUACUCGAAAAUAUUAAAACUACAAUUUACAAUAUAGUGUUAAUUCAGAGCUCUAAUUUAUUCUAGUUUAUCUCCUAAUUAAUUAUUAAUGAGGUUUCUUCAUAUCUAAAAUAUGCCCAAAUAUGGUCCUCUGUAGUUGACUGAAUUGCUGCUCAAAAUAUUUGCUGCCUCCCUGCUCUGAGGGUUGUUUUCCCUGAGGAAGGAUUAUGUACAUGCUGUCAUGUACCUGAGUGGCCAUGUGAUUUACCGUGCCAAUAAAAUGUGAGUAAAUGCAACAAAUGUCAUUUCCAAGACAAAUUUUGUGUACAAGCUCAUGGUUUUCAAUGCCCCUUUUUUCCUCUCUGUCACCAAACUGCCAAGGCCCCAGACAGAGGCUGCUUUGUCAGCUUGGGUCCCAGAGAAGAGAUGGCAUAGCAUGGGGCUACACAUAACCCAUAAUGAACAUAUGAUAUAAGCUAGAGAUAAAUUCUGAAAAUGAAGUCAUUCAGACUUUGAGAUGGAAUACAGAGCUGGUCAAGCCACUCCCGCCUAAAACACUUCACCCUCACCCAUGGUAUAUCGUCCAAAUUCCAUAGCAAGAUGUUUUCCAAUUCUUGGGCCUGUAUUCCAGACAACCUGUCCACAGCCUCAUUGCCUUUACUCCCACAUACUCACACUACCACAUCUAGUAAUUUCAGACUGCUUCUAGCUUUCGGAAAGUUUCAUGUUGCAAAUGGGUCUGUCUACUCCUCACCUUCUAUAAUCCCAGACUCACAUUUUUCUUGCAAAAUCUAGCUCAAAUCGUUCUUUCUUUGGGAAGUUGGACCCUGCACCCCUUGAUCCUGGUAGAGAUAAAUAAUCUAUCCCCUAUAUUCUUUCUGUCUCUGUGUUUUCUUUAUAAAUACACUUAGCACAAGAUACUAAAAGUACAAUGUCUUAACUCCAUGAGACCAGAUCCAGGAUCAUAUUUACUUUUCGUUUCCUGAUGAUCCCUGGAACAAUGCAGACAUUCAAUAAAUAUCAAUUUACAUUGCCUUCAUUUAUUUUAAAGUGAGGGAAAUUUAAACACAAACCAUAUGUUUUAAAUGGAGGAACCAGAUUUUGUGGCCUGAGGAGGUUCAUACUUCUUUGUAUGUCUCAGUUUUUCUCUCAGGAAUAAAUAUUUUUAAAUAUCAGAAAGUGCUCUAAAGUUAUCAUGAAGCACUAAAAGUAGAAGUUAUUAAUCAUCUUCAAGCUUAUUUACAAACAUAUUUCAUUAGCUCCCUCUAAGUCCCACUGGGCAAGAAUUAAUAGGAUUUUAUUGACAGAAAUCUUUUAAAAAGAGAGUUGUCUCAUUUGAAAAUCAAAUUAAUGUGUCACAAUGUAGAUGAAAUGUUCUAACCUUUUAAAAUUCUAUUUCAUCUAUUUUAGUUCAGUGACAUGUACCUACCCUUAUAAUAUCCUUCUGAACCUGGUAUUUAUACGAGCAACUCUCCAGAGUUAAAUUAGUCAUAUAUUUGGGAGAAAAGAUGAGAAUUUUCCAUGUCACAGCCUUGUAGGAAACUUGUACACAGGGAUGACUUUCCAAACUCUACUGAGAAUCUCUAUUUUAAAAUAAAAAUGCUACCACUAUAUACCCUUAAAAUAUUUCUGUGAAAGACUAGCAUUAUAAUGUCCACUUUAGAGAUGAGGAAACUGAGGCUCAGUUUACACUAAGAAUUCAACACAAGUGAGAUGUGCAAUGUGACAAGUUUGGGGUCAGACACAAGAGAUUAAAAGAAUGGCACUGGGCUCAGAUCUCUAUUCUCAGGUUUCUAGUGCAGUGAGGAGAGUACCUCACAAAUUAAGAAAACAAUUAUUUCGGUGAGAGUUAUAAAAGGUAUGACACAAGUAGUAGAGGUAUAGAACAGACAGAGCAAGUUAUUUUGCCUGCGGCUGGCUAGGGGAAGGAAAAGGAGUGAUUGAUGUAAAGCUAAAGGAAGCCAAUAUUGGAUUUGAUUUUGAAGUAUAAAUAGUGCCACAUGGACAUGCAAAGAAUACAGCAUGUGCAAGGGUACGGUGGUAAAAUAACACAGUAUGCUUUUCAGAAUUAUGAAUGACUUAUUUCUAAUUCAAACAGCAGGAAGGUAGGUUAUAUAUUGACAAGGGAUCAAGAACAUG